RNAcentral lists this long non-coding RNA (1001 nucleotides) under Brassica rapa (field mustard). RNAcentral describes it as "long non-coding RNA (BRAP_LNC008857)". Lineage: Eukaryota; Viridiplantae; Streptophyta; Magnoliopsida; Brassicales; Brassicaceae. The record is from RNAcentral.
GCCUCCAAACCUGUAUUCAACAAGUUAGACAUAGAAUCAUUGAGAGCACACAUUUGCAAGUUAGAUAAUCCGGCAUGUGAAUUUCCGGGUCGGUUUCUUUCAUCUUCACUAUCCAUGGCUACCUGAAAACUUAAACAAGGUAAAGUUAGAUUAAAAACCUCACACACUCAGGUGUUUAUCCUUGCCCACACACGUGUUUCACUCAAUUUGGUAGUCACACAAGAGAGUUUCCCUCAAAGUUCUAAGAGAACAAACUAGAUAACCCAAAAUGAGAAUCCCAAGUGAAACACCCAAGAGACAAGAUAGAAAGAUAAGAGAUUUAACAAGGGGAAUCUGUAUUAACCACCUCCAAGGCCGGGUUUCUCCUCGGCCAGCAGGCUUACUCUUCCACCACCAAACCACAAUUGAAAAAUUUUGAUAUAUUUUCUUUCUUUUUUUUUUUUUUUUUUGAUUUGAUCUAUCUUUCUUUUAUUUUAAUAUAUAUGGAUGGUAAAGCGUGGCCCGGAUUCAAAGAUAGAUAGAAGAAGAAUUUCUUUUUUUUUUUCUGAAGAAAAUGAUAGAUGAGAAAGAUGGAAUGAAAAGAGAUACCGGAAGAGUGGCUCUGAUACCACUUGAAGAACCCUAAGGAACGAACACUCAACCGGAUCUGAUGAUAUGAACUCGAUCUGAAGAGAUAGAGAACUGAUGGAUUCUUUAGUGACACAAGGGGAUGCGGAAGACCCAAUGAUACUACUAGAACUCUCAAUGGCCGCUUGAUUUGACACACAAGUCCGGCUCAAAGAAAGGGGAUUCACUUGGAGAUAGCCUCACCAAGGGAACAAGAAUGUUCUAAUCAAAGAACAAAGAAAUAAAUCUCAAAAUGAAUAAGGAAAAUCGAUUAUCUUAUUUCAAGGAUGCGUUCUCUUACUUAUACAACUUGUAGUCAAAGAUAUUAAAUAAAAAUGUAUGAAAAAGAGACAUAGAAAAUAGAUAGAAGACCAGAUCUAGUCAAAGCACAGAAA